This 76-nucleotide transfer RNA is filed under the name Candidatus Aegiribacteria sp. Its description in RNAcentral is "tRNA-Trp". It matches the Rfam family "tRNA". From Rfam's summary of the family: Transfer RNA (tRNA) molecules are approximately 80 nucleotides in length. RNAcentral also lists the same sequence under 1 other name. The record is from RNAcentral. Lineage: Bacteria; Pseudomonadati.
AGGGUCGUAGCACAAUUGGUAGUGCACCGGACUCCAAAUCCGGGGGUUGAGGGUUCAAGUCCUUCCGGCCCUGCCA